RNAcentral lists this ribosomal RNA (254 nucleotides) under uncultured bacterium. RNAcentral's name for it is "partial 16S ribosomal RNA". It matches the Rfam family "Bacterial small subunit ribosomal RNA", at positions 524 to 776 of the family's 1533-position model. The record is from RNAcentral.
UACGUAGGGACCGAGCGUUGUCCGGAUUCAUUGGGCGUAAAGAGCUCGUAGGCGGCUCAGUAAGUCGGGUGUGAAACCCUCAGGCUCAACCUGGGGACGCCACCCGAUACUGCUGUGGCUAGAGUCCAGUAGGGGAGUGUGGAAUUCCCGGUGUAGCGGUGAAAUGCGCAGAUAUCGGGAGGAACACCAGCGGCGAAGGCGGCACUCUGGGCUGGUACUGACGCUGAGGAGCGAAAGCGUGGGUAGCAAACAGG